GAUGGCUGAUUUAUGUCAUUUUUAGUCUUUUAGCUAUUUCAUAUGACUUUCAGUUUAAUAAUUUAGCAUAGUAUUACAAGCAAAAAUUAAACUUUCUCUCUGUGUAUCCAAUUUCUUUCUGACCAUGCCACUUCCAUGUGUUCUCUCAGAUAUGAGUUAACAAGACAAAUGAGCAGAGAAACUAUGACUCUCCAUGCUGCAGAAGGAAAAUGCUCCUAGCGAACAUCUGCUUUGGUUCUUAUGGGAAAUUCUAUCCAGGUCAUCAUAACACAAUUGAAAACAACUGAUAAUGAAAAGAAUGCUAAUUGGUUUCCUCUCUCUCUUAUCACUGAUCCGUACACAGACCAAGGACAGAACCCAGAGGGCUAA
Molecule: long non-coding RNA, 369 nt
Organism: Pan paniscus (pygmy chimpanzee)
Lineage: Eukaryota; Metazoa; Chordata; Mammalia; Primates; Hominidae
Source: Ensembl